This 465-nucleotide ribosomal RNA is filed under the name uncultured bacterium. RNAcentral's name for it is "partial 16S ribosomal RNA". It matches the Rfam family "Bacterial small subunit ribosomal RNA", at positions 28 to 507 of the family's 1533-position model. The record is from RNAcentral.
GAUGAACGCUGGCGGCGUGCUCAACACAUGCAAGUCGAACGGAAAGGCUCCUGCUUGCAGGGGUACUCGAGUGGCGAACGGGUGAGUAACACGUGGGUGAUCUGCCCUGCACUUCGGGAUAAGCCUGGGAAACUGGGUCUAAUACCGGAUAGGACGAUGGUUUGGAUGCCAUUGUGGAAAGUUUUUCGGUGUGGGAUGAGCUCGCGGCCUAUCAGCUUGUUGGUGGGGUAAUGGCCUACCAAGGCGUCGACGGGUAGCCGGCCUGAGAGGGUGUACGGCCACAUUGGGACUGAGAUACGGCCCAGACUCCUACGGGAGGCAGCAGUGGGGAAUAUUGCACAAUGGGCGCAAGCCUGAUGCAGCGACGCCGCGUGGGGGAUGACGGCCUUCGGGUUGUAAACUCCUUUCGCUAGGGACGAAGCGCAAGUGACGGUACCCGGAGAAGAAGCACCGGCUAACUACGUG